GAUGAACGCUGGCGGCGUGCCUAAUACAUGCAAGUCGAGCGAACGGACGAGAAGCUUGCUUCUCUGAUGUUAGCGGCGGACGGGUGAGUAACACGUGGAUAACCUACCUAUAAGACUGGGAUAACUUCGGGAAACCGGAGCUAAUACCGGAUAAUAUUUUGAACCGCAUGGUUCAAAAGUGAAAGACGGUCUUGCUGUCACUUAUAGAUGGAUCCGCGCUGCAUUAGCUAGUUGGUAAGGUAACGGCUUACCAAGGCAACGAUGUAUAGCCGACCUGAGAGGGUGAUCGGCCACACUGGAACUGAGACACGGUCCAGACUCCUACGGGAGGCAGCAGUAGGGAAUCUUCCGCAAUGGGCAAAAGCCUGACGGAGCAACGCCGCGUGAGUGAUGAAGGUCUUCGGAUCGUAAAACUCUGCUAUUAGGGAAGAACAUAUGUGUAAGUAACUGUGCACAUCUUGACGGUACCUAAUCAGAAAGCCACGGCUAACUACGUG
Molecule: ribosomal RNA, 497 nt
Filed under: uncultured bacterium
Lineage: Bacteria
Description: partial 16S ribosomal RNA
Rfam family: Bacterial small subunit ribosomal RNA
Source: RNAcentral